RNAcentral lists this ribosomal RNA (294 nucleotides) under uncultured eukaryote. RNAcentral describes it as "partial 18S ribosomal RNA". It matches the Rfam family "Eukaryotic small subunit ribosomal RNA", at positions 50 to 329 of the family's 1831-position model. The record is from RNAcentral.
AAUAGCAUGCUGUCUAGUAUAAGCUAUCUUAUACAGCGAAACUGCGAAUGGCUCAUUAAAUCAGUUAUAGUCUACUUGAUCGUAUCUUCUUACAUGGAUAACCGUAGUAAAUCUAGAGCUAAUACAUGCUAAAAAUCCUGGACGCGGCAACGCGGAAGGGACGAGUUUAUUAGAUUAAAAACCGACACCUCUCCGCGAGGGGAGGUAGCACAGGUGAUUCACAGUAACCGAUCGGAUCGUCGGCCCCGCCGACGACGAUGCAUACGAGUUUCUGCCCUAUCAACUUUAGAUGGU